GACGAACCGUGCAAACGUUAUUCGGAAUCACUGGGCAUAAAGGGCGCGUAGGCGGCUCCAAAAGUCAGGGGUGAAAUCCGGCAGCUUAACUGUCGCAGUGCCUUUGAUACUGUGGAGCUAGAGGGAGGUAGGGGUCUGUGGAACUUCCGGUGGAGCGGUGAAAUGCGUUGAUAUCGGAAGGAACGCCGGUGGCGAAGGCGGCAUCCUGGACCAUUACUGACGCUGAGGCGCGAAAGCUAGGGGAGCAAACGGG
Molecule: ribosomal RNA, 253 nt
Filed under: uncultured bacterium
Lineage: Bacteria
Description: partial 16S ribosomal RNA
Rfam family: Bacterial small subunit ribosomal RNA
Source: RNAcentral